Molecule: transfer RNA, 89 nt
Filed under: Xylaria digitata
Lineage: Eukaryota; Fungi; Ascomycota; Sordariomycetes; Xylariales; Xylariaceae
Description: tRNA-Pro
Rfam family: tRNA
About the family: Transfer RNA (tRNA) molecules are approximately 80 nucleotides in length.
Source: RNAcentral
GGUCUGGUGGUCUAGUGGUAUGAUUCUCGCUUAGGGUUCACCCUACAGCUGCUUGCGAGAGGUCCCGGGUUCAAUCCCCGGCCAGACCC